GGCAAGAAUGGACAAUUCAAGUGGUGCCAGACAAAACCCUGCUGCUAAUGACAUCACAGAUGAUGAAAUGGGUUUAGAGGCUGUGACUGGUGACGUUGUGUACAGACCCUGGAGAAGUCACACACUCACUCAUGGUUCAAGUCCACCAACUCAAAUAAACGGUGGGGUUGGGACAACGACUGAGGGUUCGGUAGCACUUCAAGCUAUCUGAGAAAGUAUGACAAAUGGCAUCACUGCUGUAGGCGUAACACCACCAACUUCGAAUGGUGGAAACAAGCCUGCAGAGAGUUCCACCAUAUUUAUUAUGCAACCUGAAAUGCUCAUACUAAAUAAAACCCCUCAUUAUGUGGAGAUAAAUAGUUUCUGUAUCCUUCUGGGGCUGGGCUGAAGUCCUGCUUUGUGGCAUUGACUCGCAUAAGUGCCCAUCAAAUUUUGAGACCAUAGGAACUAUGAGCCCCCCUGAUCUGUCCCUCAACAUUGACUGGACUGAUUCAAAGCUGAAUCCUUAUGCAAAGUUUCAGAUAAGAAUGGUCAGUGUCCCUCAGGGGAGGGAGCCUGAUCUUCUGGCCACACCUGUUUUGACAAAUAGGGAUCUUUAUUCAGGUGGUCACGGAUUAAAUGCAAUGUAAGCAAGAAAAUCAGGUGUCACAUCUCCAUCUGAAGAAGAGGUGGAAGGGUCGGCAACACUACCAGACAGACCUAAAGAAAUGAAGAUUUUCAUUUCUUUUUCUAAUGAAGUACAGUAUUGUGAAAUUAUUCUGCAUUCAUAUUUAUAGUAGGGGUGAUAUAUAUAGACUUUCUCCCAGAUUGACUGGUCUGUGUAUGUUUUAAUUCAUGUAUAUAAUCAGCAGCAUACUGGUGAAUAUUUUUAGGUUUUGAACAAAUGUUCGAAUUCCAGUGGGAAUGAAUAAAUUGGAUU
Long non-coding RNA from Sinocyclocheilus rhinocerous, 919 nucleotides. RefSeq lists it as uncharacterized. The record is from RefSeq and is a predicted model, not a curated record. The transcript has 4 exons. Lineage: Eukaryota; Metazoa; Chordata; Actinopteri; Cypriniformes; Cyprinidae.